CUUUAUAGUUUCACGCAAUGCACGUUACCCUCCGUGUCAGCCUUCAUGAUUGUUGAUUCUGUGUUUCUGAGAAUAAGGCUGCAGCACAUGCAGUCCAUGAUGACCCUGAAGACCUCAUCACCAUGGCAACAACAGUUACUUCUCAAACAAUCUGUGGUUGAAGUGACUGAAAACAGCAGAACAUUUUCAGGAGGAGAAGAAAGAAAAGUCUGCAGUCAUGAUGGAUGAUGACAGAGAAACUUCUAGUUUUUCAGCUCAACGUUUGGAGGCGGAGCUCCAGAGGUAAACUCCAGCUUUUUUCCUCCUGGAAUCUUUGAGAACACAGUUCAGAUGUUCCUCUGCUCCUCCUCCUGCUUCAGAUGCAGACUCCGCUGUAAGAAGCUGAGCUCUGAGAACAGCCUGCUGUCAGCUCUGAGCUGCAGGCUGGAGGAGGACCGGAAGGACGUGGAGCGCUUCCUGCCGCACCACUCCGCUGAGUUGGAGGAGCAGCUGCAGGAGCUGCAGGAGCGGCUGAAGCUGCAGCAGCUCGCCCACACGCAGGAGCUGCAGGAGCUGAAGCUGCAGCUGCACCAGGAGAAGCUGCAGCUCCAGGAGAGGACGGAGCUGCUGAGCUCUGAGGUCACACAGCAAGCUGCAAGAGUGAAGGAGCAGCAGGAGGAGCUGAAGCAGCAGCUGAAGCAGCAGCUGCCCAGCGUGGAGCAGCUGCUCCAACUAAGAUCUAAACUCCAGUCUGCUGACCUACAGCUGAGUUUGGAUCAGAUACAACAUGAAGAAGAGGAGACGGAGAACACCAACAGGCUCCUGGAGAACCAGCUGUCAGAGAUGAUGGAAGAGAAGAAGGAGGAGCUGAGGGAGCUGAAGGAGGAGUCGACGCUCCUGCUGGAGCAGAACAAGGCUCUGUUCAAGGAGAAAGAGGUUCUCCAGCUCUCUCUGGGGAACCUCUGCCAUGAUGUGGAUGAAGUGAAGGCCAACAUGAAGCAGGACUCUCUGCAGGUCCUCAGUCUCACAAAGGACGUGGAGGAGCUGCGCAGGAGACUGCAGCAGCUGCAGAGCAAGCAGGAGGUCAGGACGCUACUGAGCACGCUCCAACUGGAGGACACGCCCAGAGAGAAUGUCGUCUCAUCCAUGAAGCAUCAGCAUCAAACAGCCCCCCCAGCUGUGGUGGGGGCUCAGCAGCAGAGAAGGACUGAAGCCUUCGAGAGGAAACGACCUCAGACUACAGAGACCCCCCCUCCAACAAACAUGACGGUGAGCUUCAACCCCCCAGCAGAUCAGAGAAUGAGUUUAUCCAUGGAGCUUCUGAAGGUAAAAGUGCUCACUCUUCAUCACUCUUCAUCACUCUUCAUCACUCUUCAUCACUCUUCAUCACUCCUCAUCCCUCUUCAUCAUGGACUCAGUAGAUGAGGAUGUGACUUCCAUGCAGAAAGAAAAUCUUUGUAUUUCUCAGCUCUGCAGCUCAGAGGAAGACUCCUUCAGUUUGGGACAGCAGUCAUGAAUUCUUCCCAGAAUUCCUCUGAAUGAAUGCUGGGAUGUAACCCAGACCUCCUUCUUCUGUCCAGAACUCUCACAGAACACCACGAGCCCAGAUCUACGAGCAGAAGCUGUUGGAGAUUCUGCAAAGACGAGACCAUCAGAGUCCUUCAGGCUGACCCGGACCCUGCAGUCUGGUUCUGGAGGACGAAUCUUUCCAAUAAAUCUGCACAUCUGCAGCUGCAGACCGGACUCUUGAAUCCACUCAUCUCUCAUGGACAAUCGAGGCUAAAACGAUCAGAGACUUUAUUUUGUUUCAAACUUAAUUUUCCUUUUUUUUUAAAUAAACUUGAUGAGUCACAAUUAAUGUUUACCAGAAAUCAGAUUUUCCUCUUGACAUUUGUAGAGAUUUUGAUGAAGGUCAAGGUGUUGUCGGCUCAGAUCGACCUGAUAAUGCAAGGAUGUAGCAAAUCAUUAGAGGAGUGCAAUACUUGAUUUAGAAAUAUUACUUUCUUAUUUUUAGUGCUAAAAGUAGCUUGUAAAUAUGCUUUCUUAAUCUUUGUCUACAUUUAUACUAAUAUUGACUCAAAAAUUUGAAGGAAAGAAACUAUUUUUUGGGAAGGGGGGGGUGCAGCUUCAUAGUUCUGCCACUUUAUUAACACAUUUUAUCCAUAUUUUAAAAAACAUCAAUGAUAAACCAGCUUUUCCUCAGCAUGGUGAAACCAGUGAUUAUUGUUGCAUCAAAUGAAUGACACUAAGCAGAGUGGCAGAGAUUCUUCAACAUGGAAAAGUAGUAAAAACAGCAGAAAGUUCAGGGGAAGCAGUUACGAUGAAGGGAUGAACAUUUUUAAAAAGUUUUGAUGUGAAUAAAGUGAGACUUUAGUCAUCCAUUUCCUGAAGUUGAGGCUUGAGAUUACUGCUAAAUCUGAGACUAGACUAGAGCUGGAACAUUGUUCAGUGUAUUUCUGAUUGUUGUUCUUGAAUCUUAGAGGCAGUUUGUGCAUGGCUGCUUCUGGGCGGAGCUCCUCUGUUGAAAGAUCCUUAACGGUCUGGAGGAGCUUUUGCUUUCACUUCUUUGUGAAGAUGGAGACAGCAUUUCUGUUUAAGGCCUAAAUCUUGAACAAAUGAGGAAAUGAUUUGAUGUUAGCAGAUGGAGGAUCCUGAUCAUCAAUUAUUGAGCACAGAGAAUUCAAAGCUGAUUAUUGAUUAAUUUUUACUUUUCCAGGUGAGUUUCUGAUCAAUCUUUUAUAGAUUUUAGCUGCAGACAUUUUCUUUCAGCUGCUUCAAAAGACCCCAUAGAACAAAUGAA
Molecule: long non-coding RNA, 2779 nt
Organism: Oryzias javanicus (javanese ricefish)
Lineage: Eukaryota; Metazoa; Chordata; Actinopteri; Beloniformes; Adrianichthyidae
Source: Ensembl